GUGAACGCUGGCGGUAGGCCUAACCCAUGCCAGUCGAACGGCAGCACCGUAAGAGCUUGCUCUUCCGGGUGGCGAGUGGCGGACGGGUGAGGAAUACAUCGGAAUCUACUUUUUCGUGGGGGAUGACGUAGGGAAACUUACGCUAAUACCGCAUACGACCUACGGGUGAAAGCAGGGGAUCUUCGGACCUUGCGCGAUUGAAUGAGCCGAUGUCGGAUUAGCUAGUUGGCGGGGUAAAGGCCCACCAAGGCGACGAUCCGUAGCUGGUCUGAGAGGAUGAUCAGCCACACUGGAACUGAGACACGGUCCAGACUCCUACGGGAGGCAGCAGUGGGGAAUAUUGGACAAUGGGCGCAAGCCUGAUCCAGCCAUACCGCGUGGGUGAAGAAGGCCUUCGGGUUGUAAAGCCCUUUUGUUGGGAAAGAAAAGCAGCAGGUUAAUACCCCGCUGUUCUGACGGUACCCAAAGAAUAAGCACCGGCUAACUUCGUG
Molecule: ribosomal RNA, 491 nt
Filed under: uncultured bacterium
Lineage: Bacteria
Description: partial 16S ribosomal RNA
Rfam family: Bacterial small subunit ribosomal RNA
Source: RNAcentral